CACUGUCUAUGUGUCCUGACCCACCUUGCUUUAUCCCUCAGGGACUGGUAAUUGCUCAGACGAUUGCGCUCCCCAAACGGGACUCUAGCAACACAUCAGAGUACUCGGUAAUGUGUAUUAAGGUCUACGCUGAGUAUGGUAACACCAGGCAGCUUUCCAUAAUUGCAGAUUGAGACUGGCAGAAUUUUCAGUAACAAGCUCUGCUGGACAAAAACUAAAGAAUUAUACGAGAUUUGAAGACUGAAACUGAAUGCCAUAGAAGUAUGUAGGUUUCUUGUGUGUUCUUGUGCACGUUCUGAAGGUCACUGAAGUGUGAUGCAAGAAAUCUACCCU
RNAcentral lists this long non-coding RNA (333 nucleotides) under Cyanistes caeruleus (blue tit). RNAcentral describes it as "lncRNA (ENSCCEG00000007879.1)". The record is from RNAcentral. Lineage: Eukaryota; Metazoa; Chordata; Aves; Passeriformes; Paridae.